Molecule: ribosomal RNA, 536 nt
Filed under: Calliderma rimosum
Lineage: Eukaryota; Fungi; Basidiomycota; Agaricomycetes; Agaricales; Entolomataceae
Description: eukaryotic LSU rRNA
Rfam family: 5.8S ribosomal RNA (bases 145-298)
Source: RNAcentral
GUAUAACAACAUUUGAGUUGGCACACCAGCUCGGUUUAGAAAUUGCUGUGUCAUGUACAAGGCAGCUUUUUCUUGUGUUUCAGGUUUAUGUAUAUAUAAUACCCUAUUAAAAGUGUAUUUUGUUUUGAAAUGAAAUAAUAAUACAACUUUCAACAACGGAUCUCUUGGCUCUCGCAUCGAUGAAGAACGCAGCGAAAUGCGAUAAGUAAUGUGAAUUGCAGAAUUCAGUGAAUCAUCGAAUCUUUGAACGCACCUUGCACUUCUUGGUAUUCCGAGAAGCAUGCCUGUUUGAGUGUCAUGAUAUUCUCAACCUGUCUUUACUUUUUAGUCAGGCUUGGACUUAUGGGAAUUGCUGGUUGUUUAUUCAAAAUCAGCUCUCCUUAAAAAUAUCAGCAGAAUUAUUUCUGAUCCCUUAUGGUAUGAUAAUUAUCUAUACCAGGAUUCGUAAAAUGAUUUUGCUUCAAACAGUCUGCAUCAGACAAUAAAACAGUUUUGACCUCAAAUCAGGUAGGAUUACCCGCUGAACUUAAGCAUAU